AAUAUAAGCCCCCCGAAUAUAAGCCCACCCCUACAUAGGCCCACCCGUAUAUAAGCCCAUCACACUAUAAUACCGGUAAAUUACACAAAAUAAUCCACUACAUUGCAUUAAAUUUCAACUAAGACUACGUCUACGGUAUGUAUUUAUUUAAACAAAGGUUACUGAUGCCUCUUCUGAAUCUGAUUCUUCAAGUACUGUCAGUGAUACAGACGGCUAAGACUGUUAACGUACCUGGUAUCGGCUAUGAGGACGUUUUAUAAGACAUGGAUGGCCCACAAAAACCGCGUUCAUAUAGAAACUAUAGAAACUAUACUAUAAUCGCGUCUCGUUGAUGACAGUCAGUGUUCUAUUAUUUUUUGUUUAAAAUUGCUAAAAUUUAACAAUAAACAGCGUGUUUUCUUACUAUUAACCUAAGAUGUGGUCCGUGUAUAAUCCCCCCCCCCCGUAUAUAAGCCCCCCCCCCAUGUAUAAGCCCAUCAAAAA
Molecule: non-coding RNA, 483 nt
Organism: Paramuricea clavata
Lineage: Eukaryota; Metazoa; Cnidaria; Anthozoa; Malacalcyonacea; Plexauridae
Source: the annotation of a GenBank genome assembly